RNAcentral lists this ribosomal RNA (276 nucleotides) under Fusicatenibacter saccharivorans. RNAcentral describes it as "partial 16S ribosomal RNA". It matches the Rfam family "Bacterial small subunit ribosomal RNA", at positions 502 to 776 of the family's 1533-position model. The record is from RNAcentral. Lineage: Bacteria; Bacillati; Bacillota; Clostridia; Lachnospirales; Lachnospiraceae.
UAUGGUAAUUGUGGCCGCGGUAAUACGUAGGGGGCAAGCGUUAUCCGGAUUUACUGGGUGUAAAGGGAGCGUAGACGGCAAGGCAAGUCUGAUGUGAAAACCCAGGGCUUAACCCUGGGACUGCAUUGGAAACUGUCUGGCUCGAGUGCCGGAGAGGUAAGCGGAAUUCCUAGUGUAGCGGUGAAAUGCGUAGAUAUUAGGAAGAACACCAGUGGCGAAGGCGGCUUACUGGACGGUAACUGACGUUGAGGCUCGAAAGCGUGGGGAGCAAACAGG